GACAGAUGACUUGGUUGUGACUCCGAUGUCAUCCAUUUCUGCGGUUUCUUAUCUAAAUAGGUCACAAGUUCCUUUCUCAGACUUGGAGGAAAGGGUCAUUAGCGUUGGUGUGAAGGAGGGAUUGGCCAUACUAAAAGCUUCCUUAACCUCAACAUCUGCUUUGACACAAGUCUCCUCCAACAAUUCACAAAAAACAUUAAGGUGGAGAUUUGAUCAAUUAAAAUUUUUAGGUUAUGAUGUUAUUUUGAAAUGCCUACUUUUUAACAUUGGUCUGACACUCUCUGGUUCAGUCAAAUUUUCUGUUUGUUGUGUGAACCAGUAUUAUAAUGAAUCUACUUUUGG
Molecule: small RNA, 342 nt
Filed under: Vigna angularis var. angularis
Lineage: Eukaryota; Viridiplantae; Streptophyta; Magnoliopsida; Fabales; Fabaceae
Description: Non-protein coding transcript
Source: RNAcentral